UUGACGUUUAUUACAAGUUUUUUGUCGUAAGUCGUAACACGCGUGCAUUUAGUUUCAAUUAUUUCAUUUAAAAUGCCAAAAGUUUAUCGGUGAGUCGAUUGCGUGCAAGUUUAGCCUAGGAAAAUGAUUUUAAUCACUUUUAUUUAAAUUAAAUUAAUUUAAUCAAAUAUUAUUUAAAAUUUAUACUAAAUUUAUUAAAAACAAAAACAAUUUAACUGCAUUUUUUUUGUGCAUUAUUUAGAAUUUUCAGAGCAUUAUAACAUUUUUUAAGGGGUAUUUUUAGGGUUUUAUAGGGCAUUAUAUCCCCAGCCCUAUUCAUAAGUUUCUAUCGAAAUUUGAUAAGUUUAAAAAAGCGGCGCGUGUGUAACUUUGGACACCAUUGAUUUACUGUGUAUAAUAAUAGUGACCCACUUGUAAUUUACUGUACAGCAGAGUGACACCCACUUUCCCACGUUUUUUUCUGUUUCAAUUUCGAAUUCUGGAGCUAAUGUCACUGAUUCGAUUUGUUCCUACAUUGUAGGGCGCACUGCUUACACCACCAGUCACGAACUACAAGCACACUGCACACAUUACAGAUCAAUAGAACACUAUACACUGCUGCUGUAUAUAGGUACUGAGUACACUGCCUUAGUGCUACAUUAAUCCAAGUUGAUGCAUUGUUUUAUGCUUGUGGAUUGUGUGAAUACGUUUUAGUGGACAGACCAACAGAGUUCAACAUUUCUCUGAACACCUUCAUCAUCAACGCUCUACAGUAUAUUAUCGAAGUACACCGCUACACCUUUAAAAACUAUGGCAUCCUGGUUAUUUGGAGUUUCUAAACAAUCGGCUGAUCAGAUUGUUGAUACAAAAGACACACCAUCUGUUUCAACAGCGGUUAAUCCAGAACCUGUGAAUACCUCACCCACGAUGCCUCAAUUACUUUAUGAUUU
Molecule: unclassified non-coding RNA, 929 nt
Filed under: Acyrthosiphon pisum (pea aphid)
Lineage: Eukaryota; Metazoa; Arthropoda; Insecta; Hemiptera; Aphididae
Description: uncharacterized LOC100572314, transcript variant X1
Source: RNAcentral